CCAAAAGGGCUUGCCCAGAAAUCCAGCAGUGUCACCUCAUCAGCCAUUGUUGUUGUGAAAAAGAGUAAAACUGAUGGAUCACAGAUAGUUUUUUCUCGCCUUUCAGAAUGGCUGUGCUCUUGAUAGUGGAAAGUAGAGAUCUUUAUAGCAUAUCUAUCUUUGCAGAAAGAUGUGGCGGAAA
This is a long non-coding RNA of Populus euphratica (Euphrates poplar), 181 nucleotides long. RefSeq lists it as uncharacterized. Lineage: Eukaryota; Viridiplantae; Streptophyta; Magnoliopsida; Malpighiales; Salicaceae. The record is from RefSeq and is a predicted model, not a curated record. The transcript has 2 exons.